This 451-nucleotide ribosomal RNA is filed under the name uncultured bacterium. Its description in RNAcentral is "bacterial SSU rRNA". It matches the Rfam family "Bacterial small subunit ribosomal RNA", at positions 28 to 492 of the family's 1533-position model. The record is from RNAcentral.
GACGAACGCUGGCGGCGCGCCUAACACAUGCAAGUCGAACGAGAGAGAGGGAGCUUGCUUCCUCAAUCGAGUGGCGAACGGGUGAGUAACGCGUGAGGAACCUGCCUCAAAGAGGGGGACAACAGUUGGAAACGACUGCUAAUACCGCAUAAGCCCACGGCUCGGCAUCGAGCAGAGGGAAAAGGAGCAAUCCGCUUUGAGAUGGCCUCGCGUCCGAUUAGCUAGUUGGUGAGGUAAUGGCCCACCAAGGCAACGAUCGGUAGCCGGACUGAGAGGUUGAACGGCCACAUUGGGACUGAGACACGGCCCAGACUCCUACGGGAGGCAGCAGUGGGGAAUAUUGCACAAUGGGGGAAACCCUGAUGCAGCGACGCCGCGUGGAGGAAGAAGGUCUUCGGAUUGUAAACUCCUGUUGUUGAGGAAGAUAAUGACGGUACUCAACAAGGAAGUG